AUCCACAAUGACUGUGAGACAAUAGAACUCAUUAAAUGAUAAGAUAUAAUCAAAGAUUAUUUUAAAGCCAACCUGAGUAACAUACUAAAACCGUAAGUGGUUUUUUCUGUUUAUUUUUUAUUUUUCCUUUUUUGGAGGAAUUGAGCUUUGAAUUCAGGGCUUGAAGUUUGCUACAUCUGUGGUCUACCACUUUACACCUUCCAGACCUGAAUGACACAGUCUUUAAAAAAAUAGUGCUCUGUACAUGCACCAGGAGGUUCAAUCUCCAUUACUGAGAGCAAA
Molecule: long non-coding RNA, 282 nt
Organism: Perognathus longimembris pacificus (Pacific pocket mouse)
Lineage: Eukaryota; Metazoa; Chordata; Mammalia; Rodentia; Heteromyidae
Exons: 2
Source: RefSeq, a predicted model, not a curated record